This 446-nucleotide ribosomal RNA is filed under the name uncultured bacterium. Its description in RNAcentral is "partial 16S ribosomal RNA". It matches the Rfam family "Bacterial small subunit ribosomal RNA", at positions 338 to 795 of the family's 1533-position model. The record is from RNAcentral.
CCUACGGGUGGCAGCAGUCGAGAAUCAUUCACAAUGGGGGAAACCCUGAUGGUGCGACGCCGCGUGGGGGAAUGAAGUUCUUCGGAUUGUAAACCCCUGUCAUGUGGGAGCAAAUUAAAAAGAUAGUACCACAAGAGGAAGAGACGGCUAACUCUGUGCCAGCAGCCGCGGUAAUACAGAGGUCUCAAGCGUUGUUCGGAAUCACUGGGCGUAAGGCGUGCGUAGGCUGUUUCGUAAGUCGUGUGUGAAAGGCGCGGGCUCAACCCGCGGACGGCACAUGAUACUGCGAGACUAGAGUAAUGGAGGGGGAACCGGAAUUCUCGGUGUAGCAGUGAAAUGCGUAGAUAUCGAGAGGAACACUCGUGGCGAAGGCGGGUUCCUGGACAGUAACUGACGCUGAGGCACGAAGGCCAGGGGAGCGAAAGGGAUUAGAUACCCCUGUAGUC